GCCAGUAUGGUGUAGUGGUUUGAGUGCUAGACUAUGACUCUGGAGACCAGGGUUUGAACUCCUGUGCAGCCA
This is a non-coding RNA of Phrynosoma platyrhinos (Desert horned lizard), 72 nucleotides long. NCBI's taxonomy places the organism in Eukaryota, Metazoa, Chordata, Lepidosauria, Squamata, Phrynosomatidae. The record is from the annotation of a GenBank genome assembly.